This 69-nucleotide transfer RNA is filed under the name Leiodidae sp. BMNH 1274772. RNAcentral describes it as "tRNA-Met". It matches the Rfam family "tRNA". Rfam says of the family: Transfer RNA (tRNA) molecules are approximately 80 nucleotides in length. Their secondary structure includes four short double-helical elements and three loops (D, anti-codon, and T loops). Further hydrogen bonds mediate the characteristic L-shaped molecular structure. tRNAs have two regions of fundamental functional importance: the anti-codon, which is responsible for specific mRNA codon recognition, and the 3' end, to which the tRNAs corresponding amino acid is attached (by aminoacyl-tRNA synthetases). tRNAs cope with the degeneracy of the genetic code in two manners: having more than one tRNA (with a specific anti-codon) for a particular amino acid; and 'wobble' base-pairing, i.e. permitting non-standard base-pairing at the 3rd anti-codon position. Lineage: Eukaryota; Metazoa; Arthropoda; Insecta; Coleoptera; Leiodidae. The record is from RNAcentral.
AAAAAAAUAAGCUAAUUAAGCUAAAGGGUUCAUACCCCUUAUAUGAAAGUUUUAAUCUUUCUUUUUUUA